UUUACCUACGGGGCGCAGCAGUGGGGAAUAUUGCACAAUGGGGGAAACCCUGAUGCAGCGACGCCGCGUGAGUGAAGAAGUAUUUCGGUACGUAAAGCUCUAUCAGCAGGGAAGAAAAAAAGUCCUUUGGACUUUGGACGGUACCUGACCAAGAAGCCCCGGCUAACUACGUGCCAGCAGCCGCGGUAAUACGGAGGAUGCGAGUGUUAUCCGGAUUUAUUGGGUUUAAAGGGUGCGUAGGCGGAAUGCCAAGUCAGCGGUAAAAUCGCGGGGCUCAACCUCGCUCCGCCGUUGAAACUGGCGUU
This 305-nucleotide ribosomal RNA is filed under the name uncultured bacterium. Its description in RNAcentral is "bacterial SSU rRNA". It matches the Rfam family "Bacterial small subunit ribosomal RNA", at positions 334 to 640 of the family's 1533-position model. The record is from RNAcentral.